RNAcentral lists this ribosomal RNA (495 nucleotides) under uncultured bacterium. RNAcentral's name for it is "partial 16S ribosomal RNA". It matches the Rfam family "Bacterial small subunit ribosomal RNA", at positions 28 to 507 of the family's 1533-position model. The record is from RNAcentral.
GAUGAACGCUGGCGGCGUGCCUAAUACAUGCAAGUAGAACGCUGAAGGAGGAGCUUGCUCUUCUGGAUGAGUUGCGAACGGGUGAGUAACGCGUAGGUAACCUGCCUGGUAGCGGGGGAUAACUAUUGGAAACGAUAGCUAAUACCGCAUGACAACAGUUAUUGCAUGAUAACUGUUUAAAAGGGGCAACUGCUCCACUACCAGAUGGACCUGCGUUGUAUUAGCUAGUUGGUGAGGUAACGGCUCACCAAGGCGACGAUACAUAGCCGACCUGAGAGGGUGAUCGGCCACACUGGGACUGAGACACGGCCCAGACUCCUACGGGAGGCAGCAGUAGGGAAUCUUCGGCAAUGGACGGAAGUCUGACCGAGCAACGCCGCGUGAGUGAAGGAGGGUUUCGGAUCGUAAAGCUCUGUUGUAAGAGAAGAACGAGUGUGAGAGUGGAAAGUUCACACUGUGACGGUAGCUUACCAGAAAGGGACGGCUAACUACGUG